This 274-nucleotide ribosomal RNA is filed under the name uncultured prokaryote. Its description in RNAcentral is "partial 16S ribosomal RNA". It matches the Rfam family "Bacterial small subunit ribosomal RNA", at positions 524 to 798 of the family's 1533-position model. The record is from RNAcentral.
UACGUAGGGGGCUAGCGUUAUCCGGAUUUACUGGGCGUAAAGGGUGCGUAGGCGGUCUUUCAAGUCAGGAGUGAAAGGCUACGGCUCAACCGUAGUAAGCUCUUGAAACUGUAAGACUUGAGUGCAGGAGAGGAGAGUGGAAUUCCUAGUGUAGCGGUGAAAUGCGUAGAGAUAUGGAGGAACACCAGUGGCGAAGGCGGCUUCCUGGUCUGUAACUGACACUGAGGCGCGAAAGCGUGGGGAGCAAACAGGAUUAGAUACCCCCGUAGUCCCU